GACGAACGCUGGCGGCGUGCCUAAUACAUGCCAGUAGAACGCUGAAGAGAGGAGCUUGCUCUUCUUGGAUGAGUUGCGAACGGGUGAGUAACGCGUAGGUAACCUGCCUUGUAGCGGGGGAUAACUAUUGGAAACGAUAGCUAAUACCGCAUAACAAUGGAUGACCCAUGUCAUUUAUUUGAAAGGGGCAAAUGCUCCACUACAAGAUGGACCUGCGUUGUAUUAGCUAGUAGGUGAGGUAACGGCUCACCUAGGCGACGAUACAUAGCCGACCUGAGAGGGUGAUCGGCCACACUGGGACUGAGACACGGCCCAGACUCCUACGGGAGGCAGCAGUAGGGAAUCUUCGGCAAUGGGGGCAACCCUGACCGAGCAACGCCGCGUGAGUGAAGAAGGUUUUCGGAUCGUAAAGCUCUGUUGUAAGUCAAGAACGAGUGUGAGAGUGGAAAGUUCACACUGUGACGGUAGCUUACCAGAAAGGGACGGCUAACUACGUG
RNAcentral lists this ribosomal RNA (497 nucleotides) under uncultured bacterium. Its description in RNAcentral is "partial 16S ribosomal RNA". It matches the Rfam family "Bacterial small subunit ribosomal RNA", at positions 28 to 507 of the family's 1533-position model. The record is from RNAcentral.